AAUCUGCGACACAACCCUUUUGGCUCCACCCCGUCGAUUUCACGUGGAAUUUACGAAUAAGGCGUGACGACAUGCUCGUGUCUGACGGCCAUCCUAUAGGAACGAGUAUGAGACUAACAGUUCUCGAAUGCAUGGCAUCUCCUGUCAGUGAGUAAAGGGUGUUCAGCCAACCAGGUCGACGUACAUCCGAAACUCUGAAGAGAUAACUUAACUAAUACAUAUUGAGAAGAUACAACUAGAACUGAAGACUGGGGGCACGUGUGGGUGAACUAAAGAAUGUGGACUGUUUGUUCAUGAACAAGUUGGCAGCAUCACUAUAUAGGCUUCUGGACUCUUUAGCCAUACUGGUGGUCUGUCAUCAGGGCUAAGGACCAGCCUGUUAAUUAUGUUACUAUUCCCUAGGUACAAAACGAAAACUUAUCCUUAGAUGGAAACCAUAAUUACUUUUAUCAAGUAUAACGGUCGUGUUAAGACGGGCAGCUCUGUGUUAAAAGUUGAGAGAUUUAUUACUUGACAGUCUUAUAACGGAACCUUUAGCAAUGAAAACUAUUUUCAAAACGCACAGUAGUCUUUAUGAGCAUGGUCGGACGUGUAACGACAUGUUGAGGCUCCCAAAUCGUUUAAUUUAACGUAUUUAACCUUUGUAUCAUUUGACAGUAACUGUUAGAAGAAAUAAACGUGUUUCUUUAACAA
Molecule: long non-coding RNA, 693 nt
Organism: Limulus polyphemus (Atlantic horseshoe crab)
Lineage: Eukaryota; Metazoa; Arthropoda; Merostomata; Xiphosura; Limulidae
Exons: 2
Source: RefSeq, a predicted model, not a curated record